GGUAUUCCGAGGAGCAUGCCUGUUUGAGUGUCAUUAAAUUCUCAACCAUGUCUUGAUGGUUUUGUCAAGUGCAUGGCUUGGACUUGGGGGUUGCUGGCGAAUACAUGUUUGCAUUUGUCGGCUCUUCUAAAAUGCAUUAGCAAUCGGUCUAGUCUUUGAUGUGCAUGGCCUUUGAUGUGAUAAAUCAACAGUUUGAUCAUCAUGGCUAAAGUGUCUUUGAUUAGCUAUUGCUUAUAAUUCAGAUUGAUUGGUAUGCCUCAGAUUAAGCUAAGCACUAAGCUUUAGUUACUAGUCAGUCAGGCUGGCGAACACAAAGCAAAGAGCAGGGUAAAAUCUAGGGUUGAGAUUAGGCUGAGCGGCUGAAUGGCUGAGCUUUAGUUAUUAGUUAGCCCAUAAGGCUGGCAAACACAAAGUGAAAGUGAAUUCAGGCUUAGGCUCAGGCUAAUUUCUUUCUGGGCAUAGCCUAUGUAUCAAAUUUUAAUUGGUUGACCUCAAAUCAGGUAGGACUACCCGCUGAACUUAAGCAUAUCAAUAAGCGGAGGAAAAGAAACUAACAAGG
This 559-nucleotide ribosomal RNA is filed under the name uncultured fungus. RNAcentral's name for it is "eukaryotic LSU rRNA". The stretch from base 487 to 559 matches the Rfam family "Eukaryotic large subunit ribosomal RNA", at positions 1 to 73 of the family's 3401-position model. Lineage: Eukaryota; Fungi. The record is from RNAcentral.